This 360-nucleotide transfer RNA is filed under the name uncultured Microcystis sp. RNAcentral's name for it is "partial 16S-23S ribosomal RNA intergenic spacer". The stretch from base 134 to 207 matches the Rfam family "tRNA". Lineage: Bacteria; Bacillati; Cyanobacteriota; Cyanophyceae; Chroococcales; Microcystaceae. The record is from RNAcentral.
AAAGGGAGACCUAAUUCAGGUAUAAGACGAAAAAAAAGUAGUCCCUACCAAGAAUCAAUCCCAAAAGGUCGGAACGAGGUAUGAGGCUUUCAAACUAGGUUCUGGGUUCAUAAAAGACCUGAAUCAGGAACAAGGGCUAUUAGCUCAGGUGGUUAGAGCGCACCCCUGAUAAGGGUGAGGUCCCUGGUUCGAGUCCAGGAUGGCCCACCUGCACAGGUGGCAAAAACAAGAGAAGCGAGGAAUCAGCACCUUAUCUUAUAUACAUAUAUAAGAGAGAAUGCUGGCUCUGAGUACAGAGUCCAGAGGAACCUUGAAAACUGCAUGGAGCUAGGUGAAAAAGCCAAAAAAGAAGACCGCAAG